Molecule: ribosomal RNA, 394 nt
Filed under: uncultured bacterium
Lineage: Bacteria
Description: bacterial SSU rRNA
Rfam family: Bacterial small subunit ribosomal RNA
Source: RNAcentral
AACGAACGCUAGCGGUGUGGAUUAGGCAUGCAAGUCGCGCGCGAAAGCCUUCGGGCGAGUAAAGCGGCGAAAGGGUGAGUAACACGUAACCAACGUACCCCUCAGACUGGGAUAACCACUGGAAACGGUGGAUAAUACCGGAUGGUCCACUGGGCAGCAUUGCCUGGCUGGUAAACGGCGGCCGCAAGGCGGUUGCUGAGGGAGCGGGUUGCGGCCUAUCAGCUUGUUGGUGAGGUAACGGCUCACCAAGGCUAUGACGGGUAACAGGUCUGAGAGGAUGAUCUGUCACACUAGGACUGAGACACUGCCCAGACUCCUACGGGAGGCUGCAGUCGAGAAUCUUCCACAAUGGGCGAAAGCCUGAUGGAGCGACACCGCGUGCAGGAUGAAGGCC